AGGGAGACAUGAUGUGUCUCCCUGUUGCACACAGCAGCCUUCUUUGGUAGUGUAUGUAGCCUGUUGCCUAUAUGGGUUGCCUUGAAGACAAUU
Molecule: small nucleolar RNA, 93 nt
Organism: Rattus norvegicus (Norway rat)
Lineage: Eukaryota; Metazoa; Chordata; Mammalia; Rodentia; Muridae
Product: small nucleolar RNA SNORA70
Source: Ensembl